This 119-nucleotide ribosomal RNA is filed under the name Pteropus alecto (black flying fox). The record is from RNAcentral. Lineage: Eukaryota; Metazoa; Chordata; Mammalia; Chiroptera; Pteropodidae.
GUCUACGACCAUGCCACCCUGAAUGUGCCGGAUCUCGUCUGAUCUCGGAAGCUAAGCAGGGUUGGACCUGAUUAGUACUUGGAUAGGAGGCCACCUAAAAAUACCAGGUGCUGUAGGUG